GUGUCGCACGUGUCAAGGGUAGCUUAAGAUGGGGAGGGGCGUUGCCCGAAAGGAUGCGGGCAGGAGGAAGUGGGGCCCGCGUGACAAGGACUUUGAGAGUAAAGCCAGCAAUGCUGUGACUCAAGGUGGGUCCCUUUGCAUCGUUGGCCUUUUUUUUGUAGUCUUUCUCUUUUUGGGUCCCACUUCCGAGUCAGCUCCAAACCCUCUUUUCACUUCCAGUCACACUUUAUUAUUAUUUUUUUUUUUUAAUUAUCAUUUUGGGUUUAUUUAUUUAUUUAUUUAUAAAUAUCAAAUCUUACUCUAAAUAAAUCUUCCAUUUUAAUUAUUUUGUCCUUUUAAAAACUAUUCUAUUAACUUUCGUUCAAUGUAAUAUUAUAAUGGAGAUUUGGGGAAU
RNAcentral lists this long non-coding RNA (394 nucleotides) under Cucumis sativus (cucumber). RNAcentral describes it as "long non-coding RNA (CSAT_LNC000919)". The record is from RNAcentral. Lineage: Eukaryota; Viridiplantae; Streptophyta; Magnoliopsida; Cucurbitales; Cucurbitaceae.